UGCAGGAUUGUCCCUUGAAGAAACAAACCGCCAAGCAGAAUUGUCCAAUAAGGAUUUCCAUCAUCAUCUAACGCCUUGACGUAGACAACAGCUGCAUAGGCGGCCGUGGAAGCAUCGGCAAAUCCAUGAAGUUCGACGUUAGUUCUGAUUUGCAGCUAACGGAAAUUCAUUAAUUCCAUCUUCGGCCGUCUGUAAAAGCGUGCGUACUGCAAGAUAAGGAGCAGCGGCCGUUCCAAAUGUAACAGCCUUGUCUCACAAAAUCUUUACAUUGAAAAAUGUAAUGAUCGCCACUACAAAAGGUACAUUUGAGCGAAGAUACAGACGCUGUCGCGAGAAAAGAUUUGGACUUAUGUGACUUUGUUUGGUCUUCUAUCAUUUCCAAUGAUUUAAAUCGAACUUCAAGAA
Papilio machaon (common yellow swallowtail) is the source of this 405-nucleotide long non-coding RNA. RefSeq lists it as uncharacterized. The record is from RefSeq and is a predicted model, not a curated record. The transcript is spliced from 4 exons. NCBI's taxonomy places the organism in Eukaryota, Metazoa, Arthropoda, Insecta, Lepidoptera, Papilionidae.